This is a non-coding RNA of Myotis brandtii (Brandt's bat), 73 nucleotides long. The record is from Rfam. Lineage: Eukaryota; Metazoa; Chordata; Mammalia; Chiroptera; Vespertilionidae.
ACCUGUUCUCUGGUGAUGCACCCCAGAAUCGGGUCCCUCCUCUCUGGUUCUCGGUACAUCACCCAAGAACGGC